AGUGUCAAGGGAUGGGAAUCGAACCCACGACCUUCCUCUUACCGGGCAGAUGCCAUGACCACUAGGCCACAUGACC
Molecule: transfer RNA, 76 nt
Filed under: Cordylochernes scorpioides
Lineage: Eukaryota; Metazoa; Arthropoda; Arachnida; Pseudoscorpiones; Chernetidae
Description: tRNA-Thr
Source: RNAcentral